UACGUAGGGGGCAAGCGUUGUCCGGAAUCAUUGGGCGUAAAGAGCGUGUAGGCGGCUCGGUAAGUCCGCUCUGAAAGCCCGGGGCUCAACCCCGGGAGGCGGGCGGAUACUGUCGGGCUAGAGUCCGGAAGAGGCGAGUGGAAUUCCCGGUGUAGCGGUGAAAUGCGCAGAUAUCGGGAGGAACACCAGUAGCGAAGGCGGCUCGCUGGGCCAUUCCUGACGCUGAGACGCGAAAGCUAGGGGAGCGAACAGG
RNAcentral lists this ribosomal RNA (253 nucleotides) under uncultured bacterium. RNAcentral describes it as "partial 16S ribosomal RNA". It matches the Rfam family "Bacterial small subunit ribosomal RNA", at positions 524 to 776 of the family's 1533-position model. The record is from RNAcentral.